AAGUCGUAACAAGGUUUCCGUAGGUGAACCUGCGGAAGGAUCAUUACAGAUUGUUUUCAAAAACAAAAUUGGACUAAGCUGUUGCUGGUUUUUUCGAAAGAGAAAGCAUGUGCACGCUUUGGCUUCAGUUUUUGACCACCUGUGCACCCUUGUGUGGAUUUUUGAAUAUUCAGGAAGAAAAAAAAAUUCCUGGUCAGAGAAAAUGUCUCAGAAACAUACAGUAUGGGACUUUUCUUGUAUUUCAGAUCUACAUCAUUUUUUUUUUUCUACAUACACUUUGUAUUACAUAUUGGAACGAUUAAAUGAUUCAAAUUUUCAUUUUGAAAACAACUUUCAACAACGGAUCUCUUGGCUCUC
RNAcentral lists this unclassified non-coding RNA (357 nucleotides) under fungal sp. RNAcentral's name for it is "partial internal transcribed spacer region". The stretch from base 1 to 46 matches the Rfam family "Eukaryotic small subunit ribosomal RNA", at positions 1786 to 1831 of the family's 1831-position model. Lineage: Eukaryota; Fungi. The record is from RNAcentral.